This is a long non-coding RNA of Anthonomus grandis grandis, 11286 nucleotides long. RefSeq lists it as uncharacterized. The transcript has 3 exons. Lineage: Eukaryota; Metazoa; Arthropoda; Insecta; Coleoptera; Curculionidae. The record is from RefSeq and is a predicted model, not a curated record.
GGCACUAAAUAACGAACAUUCUUGAAAAAAUCGAGAUUGUGACCAAAUUUUAUUUUUUUUAGAAGUUAUGAAGGGGUGGCAACUAUCUAAACUUAUGUUAGUGUAUACUCAAAAGUAUCCUUAAUAUCACUAUUAAAACAAAACUCAUGCACUCCGAUUUGCAUAAAAGUAAGAGGGCACUAAAUAACGAACAUUCUUGAAAAAAUCGGGAUUUUGACCAAAUUUUAUUUUUUCUAGAGGUUAUGAAGGGGUGGCAACUAUCUAAACUUAUGUUAGUGUAUACUCAAAAGUAUCCUUAAUAUCACUAUUAAAACAAAACUCAUGCACUCCGAUUUGCAUAAAAGUAAGAGAGCACUAAAUAACGAACAUUCUUGAAAAAAUCGGGAUUUUGACCAAAUUUUAUUUUUUUUAGAAGUUAUGAAGGGGUGGCAACUAUCUAAACUUAUGUUAGUGUAUACUCAAAAGUAUCCUUAAUAUCACUAUUAAAACAAAACUCAUGCUCUCCGAUUUGCAUAAAAAUAAGAGGGCACUAAAUAACGAACAUUCUUAAAAAAAUCGGGAUUUUGACCAAACUUAAUUUUUUCUAGAGGUUAUGAAGGGGUGGCAACUAUCUAAACUUAUGUUAGUGUAUACUCAAAAGUAUCCUUAAUAUCACUAUUAAAACAAAACUCAUGCACUCCGAUUUGCAUAAAAGUAAGAGGGCACUAAAUAACGAACAUUCUUGAAAAAAUCGGGAUUUUGACCAAAUUUUAUUUUUUUUAGAAGUUAUGAAGGGGUGGCAACUAUCUAAACUUAUGUUAGUGUAUACUUAAAAGUAUCCUUAAUAUCACUAUUAAAACAAAACUCAUGCACUCCGAUUUGCAUAAAAGUAAGAGGGCACUAAAUAACGAACAUUCUUGAAAAAAUCGGGAUUUUGACCAAAUUUUAUUUUUUUUAGAAGUUAUGAAGGGGUGGCAACUAUCUAAACUUAUGUUAGUGUAUACUCAAAAGUAUCCUUAAUAUCACUAUUAAAACAAAACUCAUGCACUCCGAUUUGCAUAAAAGUAAGAGGGCACUAAAUAACGAACAUUCUUGAAAAAAUCGGGAUUUUGACCAAACUUAAUUUUUUUUACAGGUUAUGAAGGGGUGGCAACUAUCUAUACUUAUGAUAGUGUAUACUCAAAAGUAUCCUUAAUAUCACUAUUAAAACAAAACUCAUGCACUCCGAUUUGCAUAAAAGUAAGAGGGCACUAAAUAACGAACAUUCUUGAAAAAAUCGGGAUUUUGACCAAAUUUUAUUUUUUUUAGAGGUUAUGAAGGGGUGGCAACUAUCUAAACUUAUGUUAGUGUAUACUCAAAAGUAUCCUCAAUAUCACUAUUAAAACAAAACUCAUGCACUCCGAUUUGCAUAAAAAUAAGAGGGCACUAAAUAACGAACAUUCUUAAAAAAAUCGGGAUUUUGACCAAACUUAAUUUUUUCUAGAGGUUAUGAAGGGGUGGCAACUAUCUAAACUUAUGUUAGUGUAUACUCAAAAGUAUCCUUAAUAUCACUAUUAAAACAAAACUCAUGCACUCCGAUUUGCAUAAAAGUAAGAGGGCACUAAAUAACGAACAUUCUUGAAAAAAUCGGGAUUUUGACCAAACUUAAUUUUUUCUAGAGGUUAUGAAGGGGUGGCAACUAUCUAAACUUAUGUUAGUGUAUACUCAAAAGUAUCCUUAAUAUCACUAUUAAAACAAAACUCAUGCACUCCGAUUUGCAUAAAAGUAAGAGAGCACUAAAUAACGAACAUUCUUGAAAAAAUCGGGAUUUUGACCAAACUUAAUUUUUUCUAGAGGUUAUGAAGGGGUGGCAACUAUCUAAACUUAUGAUAGUGUAUACUCAAAAGUAUCCUUAAUAUCACUAUUAAAACAAAACUCAUGCACUCCGAUUUGCAUAAAAGUAAGAGGGCACUAAAUAACGAACAUUCUUGAAAAAAUCGGGAUUUUGACCAAAUUUUAUUUUUUUUAGAGGUUAUGAAGGGGUGGCAACUAUCUAAACUUAUGUUAGUGUAUACUCAAAAAUAUCCUCAAUAUCACUAUUAAAACAAAACUCAUGCACUCCGAUUUGCAUAAAAAUAAGAGGGCACUAAAUAACGAACAUUCUUAAAAAAAUCGGGAUUUUGACCAAACUUAAUUUUUUCUAGAGGUUAUGAAGGGGUGGCAACUAUCUAAACUUAUGUUAGUGUAUACUCAAAAGUAUCCUUAAUAUCACUAUUAAAACAAAACUCAUGCACUCCGAUUUGCAUAAAAGUAAGAGGGCACUAAAUAACGAACAUUCUUGAAAAAAUCGGGAUUUUGACCAAACUUAAUUUUUUUUACAGGUUAUGAAGGGGUGGCAACUAUCUAUACUUAUGAUAGUGUAUACUCAAAAGUAUCCUUAAUAUCACUAUUAAAACAAAACUCAUGCACUCCGAUUUGCAUAAAAGUAAGAGGGCACUAAAUAACGAACAUUCUUGAAAAAAUCGGGAUUUUGACCAAAUUUUAUUUUUUUUAGAGGUUAUGAAGGGGUGGCAACUAUCUAAACUUAUGUUAGUGUAUACUCAAAAGUAUCCUCAAUAUCACUAUUAAAACAAAACUCAUGCACUCCGAUUUGCAUAAAAAUAAGAGGGCACUAAAUAACGAACAUUCUUAAAAAAAUCGGGAUUUUGACCAAACUUAAUUUUUUCUAGAGGUUAUGAAGGGGUGGCAACUAUCUAAACUUAUGUUAGUGUAUACUCAAAAGUAUCCUUAAUAUCACUAUUAAAACAAAACUCAUGCACUCCGAUUUGCAUAAAAGUAAGAGGGCACUAAAUAACGAACAUUCUUGAAAAAAUCGGGAUUUUGACCAAACUUAAUUUUUUCUAGAGGUUAUGAAGGGGUGGCAACUAUCUAAACUUAUGUUAGUGUAUACUCAAAAGUAUCCUUAAUAUCACUAUUAAAACAAAACUCAUGCACUCCGAUUUGCAUAAAAGUAAGAGAGCACUAAAUAACGAACAUUCUUGAAAAAAUCGGGAUUUUGACCAAACUUAAUUUUUUUUACAGGUUAUGAAGGGGUGGCAACUAUCUAAACUUAUGAUAGUGUAUACUCAAAAGUAUCCUUAAUAUCACUAUUAAAACAAAACUCAUGCACUCCGAUUUGCAUAAAAGUAAGAGGGCACUAAAUAACGAACAUUCUUGAAAAAAUCGGGAUUUUGACCAAACUUAAUUUUUUUUACAGGUUAUGAAGGGGUGGCAACUAUCUAAACUUAUGAUAGUGUAUACUCAAAAGUAUCCUUAAUAUCACUAUUAAAACAAAACUCAUGCACUCCGAUUUGCAUAAAAGUAAGAGGGCACUAAAUAACGAACAUUCUUGAAAAAAUCGGGAUUUUGACCAAAUUUUAUUUUUUUUAGAGGUUAUGAAGGGGUGGCAACUAUCUAAACUUAUGUUAGUGUAUACUCAAAAAUAUCCUCAAUAUCACUAUUAAAACAAAACUCAUGCACUCCGAUUUGCAUAAAAAUAAGAGGGCACUAAAUAACGAACAUUCUUAAAAAAAUCGGGAUUUUGACCAAACUUAAUUUUUUCUAGAGGUUAUGAAGGGGUGGCAACUAUCUAAACUUAUGUUAGUGUAUACUCAAAAGUAUCCUUAAUAUCACUAUUAAAACAAAACUCAUGCACUCCGAUUUGCAUAAAAGUAAGAGGGCACUAAAUAACGAACAUUCUUGAAAAAAUCGGGAUUUUGACCAAACUUAAUUUUUUUUACAGGUUAUGAAGGGGUGGCAACUAUCUAUACUUAUGAUAGUGUAUACUCAAAAGUAUCCUUAAUAUCACUAUUAAAACAAAACUCAUGCACUCCGAUUUGCAUAAAAGUAAGAGGGCACUAAAUAACGAACAUUCUUGAAAAAAUCGGGAUUUUGACCAAAUUUUAUUUUUUUUAGAGGUUAUGAAGGGGUGGCAACUAUCUAAACUUAUGUUAGUGUAUACUCAAAAGUAUCCUCAAUAUCACUAUUAAAACAAAACUCAUGCACUCCGAUUUGCAUAAAAAUAAGAGGGCACUAAAUAACGAACAUUCUUAAAAAAAUCGGGAUUUUGACCAAACUUAAUUUUUUCUAGAGGUUAUGAAGGGGUGGCAACUAUCUAAACUUAUGUUAGUGUAUACUCAAAAGUAUCCUUAAUAUCACUAUUAAAACAAAACUCAUGCACUCCGAUUUGCAUAAAAGUAAGAGGGCACUAAAUAACGAACAUUCUUGAAAAAAUCGGGAUUUUGACCAAACUUAAUUUUUUUUACAGGUUAUGAAGGGGUGGCAACUAUCUAAACUUAUGUUAGUGUAUACUCAAAAGUAUCCUUAAUAUCACUAUUAAAACAAAACUCAUGCACUCCGAUUUGCAUAAAAAUAAGAGGGCACUAAAUAACGAACAUUCUUGAAAAAAUCGAGAUUGUGACCAAAUUUUAUUUUUUUUAGAAGUUAUGAAGGGGUGGCAACUAUCUAAACUUAUGUUAGUGUAUACUCAAAAGUAUCCUUAAUAUCACUAUUAAAACAAAACUCAUGCGCUCCGAUUUGCAUAAAAGUAAGAGAGCACUAAAUAACGAACAUUCUUGAAAAAAUCGGGAUUUUGACCAAAUUUUAUUUUUUUUAGAGGUUAUGAAGGGGUGGCAACAAUCUAAACUUAUGUUAGUGUAUACUCAAAAGUAUCCUUAAUAUCACUAUUAAAACAAAACUCAUGCACUCCGAUUUGCAUAAAAGUAAGAGAGCACUAAAUAACGAACAUUCUUGAAAAAAUCGGGAUUUUGACCAAAUUUUAUUUUUUUUAGAGGUUAUGAAGGGGUGGCAACUAUCUAAACUUAUGUUAGUGUAUACUCAAAAGUAUCCUUAAUAUCACUAUUAAAACAAAACUCAUGCACUCCGAUUUGCAUAAAAGUAAGAGAGCACUAAAUAACGAACAUUCUUGAAAAAAUCGGGAUUUUGACCAAAUUUUAUUUUUUUUAGAGGUUAUGAAGGGGUGGCAACUAUCUAAACUUAUGUUAGUGUAUACUCAAAAGUAUCCUUAAUAUCACUAUUAAAACAAAACUCAUGCACUCCGAUUUGCAUAAAAAUAAGAGGGCACUAAAUAACGAACAUUCUUGAAAAAAUCGAGAUUGUGACCAAAUUUUAUUUUUUUUAGAAGUUAUGAAGGGGUGGCAACUAUCUAAACUUAUGUUAGUGUAUACUCAAAAGUAUCCUUAAUAUCACUAUUAAAACAAAACUCAUGCACUCCGAUUUGCAUAAAAGUAAGAGAGCACUAAAUAACGAACAUUCUUGAAAAAAUCGGGAUUUUGACCAAAUUUUAUUUUUUUUAGAGGUUAUGAAGGGGUGGCAACUAUCUAAACUUAUGUUAGUGUAUACUCAAAAGUAUCCUUAAUAUCACUAUUAAAACAAAACUCAUGCACUCCGAUUUGCAUAAAAGUAAGAGAGCACUAAAUAACGAACAUUCUUGAAAAAAUCGGGAUUUUGACCAAAUUUUAUUUUUUUUAGAGGUUAUGAAGGGGUGGCAACUAUCUAAACUUAUGUUAGUGUAUACUCAAAAGUAUCCUUAAUAUCACUAUUAAAACAAAACUCAUGCACUCCGAUUUGCAUAAAAAUAAGAGGGCACUAAAUAACGAACAUUCUUGAAAAAAUCGGGAUUUUGACCAAAUUUUAUUUUUUUUAGAAGUUAUGAAGCGGUGGCAACUAUCUAAACUUAUGUUAGUGUAUACUCAAAAGUAUCCUUAAUAUCACUAUUAAAACAAAACUCAUGCACUCCGAUUUGCAUAAAAGUAAGAGGGCACUAAAUAACGAACAUUCUUGAAAAAAUCGGGAUUUUGACAUAAUUUUAUUUUUUUUAGAAGUUAUGAAGGGGUGGCAACUAUCUAAACUUAUGUUAGUAUAUACUCAAAAGUAUCCUUAAUAUCACUAUUAAAACAAAACUCAUGCUCUCCGAUUUGCAUAAAAAUAAGAGGGCACUAAAUAACGAACAUUCUUAAAAAAAUCGGGAUUUUGACCAAACUUAAUUUUUUCUAGAGGUUAUGAAGGGGUGGCAACUAUCUAAACUUAUGUUAGUGUAUACUCAAAAGUAUCCUUAAUAUCACUAUUAAAACAAAACUCAUGCACUCCGAUUUGCAUAAAAGUAAGAGGGCACUAAAUAACGAACAUUCUUGAAAAAAUCGGGAUUUUGACCAAAUUUUAUUUUUUUUAGAAGUUAUGAAGGGGUGGCAACUAUCUAAACUUAUGUUAGUGUAUACUUAAAAGUAUCCUUAAUAUCACUAUUAAAACAAAACUCAUGCACUCCGAUUUGCAUAAAAGUAAGAGGGCACUAAAUAACGAACAUUCUUGAAAAAAUCGGGAUUUUGACCAAAUUUUAUUUUUUUUAGAAGUUAUGAAGGGGUGGCAACUAUCUAAACUUAUGUUAGUGUAUACUCAAAAGUAUCCUUAAUAUCACUAUUAAAACAAAACUCAUGCACUCCGAUUUGCAUAAAAGUAAGAGGGCACUAAAUAACGAACAUUCUUGAAAAAAUCGGGAUUUUGACCAAACUUAAUUUUUUUUACAGGUUAUGAAGGGGUGGCAACUAUCUAUACUUAUCAUAGUGUAUACUCAAAAGUAUCCUUAAUAUCACUAUUAAAACAAAACUCAUGCACUCCGAUUUGCAUAAAAGUAAGAGGGCACUAAAUAACGAACAUUCUUGAAAAAAUCGGGAUUUUGACCAAAUUUUAUUUUUUUUAGAGGUUAUGAAGGGGUGGCAACUAUCUAAACUUAUGUUAGUGUAUACUCAAAAGUAUCCUCAAUAUCACUAUUAAAACAAAACUCAUGCACUCCGAUUUGCAUAAAAAUAAGAGGGCACUAAAUAACGAACAUUCUUAAAAAAAUCGGGAUUUUGACCAAACUUAAUUUUUUCUAGAGGUUAUGAAGGGGUGGCAACUAUCUAAACUUAUGUUAGUGUAUACUCAAAAGUAUCCUUAAUAUCACUAUUAAAACAAAACUCAUGCACUCCGAUUUGCAUAAAAGUAAGAGGGCACUAAAUAACGAACAUUCUUGAAAAAAUCGGGAUUUUGACCAAACUUAAUUUUUUCUAGAGGUUAUGAAGGGGUGGCAACUAUCUAAACUUAUGUUAGUGUAUACUCAAAAGUAUCCUUAAUAUCACUAUUAAAACAAAACUCAUGCACUCCGAUUUGCAUAAAAGUAAGAGGGCACUAAAUAACGAACAUUCUUGAAAAAAUCGGGAUUUUGACCAAACUUAAUUUUUUUUACAGGUUAUGAAGGGGUGGCAACUAUCUAAACUUAUGUUAGUGUAUACUCAAAAGUAUCCUUAAUAUCACUAUUAAAACAAAACUCAUGCACUCCGAUUUGCAUAAAAAUAAGAGGGCACUAAAUAACGAACAUUCUUGAAAAAAUCGAGAUUGUGACCAAAUUUUAUUUUUUUUAGAAGUUAUGAAGGGGUGGCAACUAUCUAAACUUAUGUUAGUGUAUACUCAAAAGUAUCCUUAAUAUCACUAUUAAAACAAAACUCAUGCGCUCCGAUUUGCAUAAAAGUAAGAGAGCACUAAAUAACGAACAUUCUUGAAAAAAUCGGGAUUUUGACCAAAUUUUAUUUUUUUUAGAGGUUAUGAAGGGGUGGCAACUAUCUAAACUUAUGUUAGUGUAUACUCAAAAGUAUCCUUAAUAUCACUAUUAAAACAAAACUCAUGCACUCCGAUUUGCAUAAAAAUAAGAGGGCACUAAAUAACGAACAUUCUUGAAAAAAUCGAGAUUGUGACCAAAUUUUAUUUUUUUUAGAAGUUAUGAAGGGGUGGCAACUAUCUAAACUUAUGUUAGUCUAUACUCAAAAGUAUCCUUAAUAUCACUAUUAAAACAAAACUCAUGCACUCCGAUUUGCAUAAAAAUAAGAGGGCACUAAAUAACGAACAUUCUUGAAAAAAUCGAGAUUGUGACCAAAUUUUAUUUUUUUUAGAAGUUAUGAAGGGGUGGCAACUAUCUAAACUUAUGUUAGUGUAUACUCAAAAGUAUCCUUAAUAUCACUAUUAAAACAAAACUCAUGCGCUCCGAUUUGCAUAAAAGUAAGAGAGCACUAAAUAACGAACAUUCUUGAAAAAAUCGGGAUUUUGACCAAAUUUUAUUUUUUUUAGAGGUUAUGAAGGGGUGGCAACAAUCUAAACUUAUGUUAGUGUAUACUCAAAAGUAUCCUUAAUAUCACUAUUAAAACAAAACUCAUGCACUCCGAUUUGCAUAAAAGUAAGAGAGCACUAAAUAACGAACAUUCUUGAAAAAAUCGGGAUUUUGACCAAAUUUUAUUUUUUUUAGAGGUUAUGAAGGGGUGGCAACUAUCUAAACUUAUGUUAGUGUAUACUCAAAAGUAUCCUUAAUAUCACUAUUAAAACAAAACUCAUGCACUCCGAUUUGCAUAAAAGUAAGAGAGCACUAAAUAACGAACAUUCUUGAAAAAAUCGGGAUUUUGACCAAAUUUUAUUUUUUUUAGAGGUUAUGAAGGGGUGGCAACUAUCUAAACUUAUGUUAGUGUAUACUCAAAAGUAUCCUUAAUAUCACUAUUAAAACAAAACUCAUGCACUCCGAUUUGCAUAAAAAUAAGAGGGCACUAAAUAACGAACAUUCUUGAAAAAAUCGAGAUUGUGACCAAAUUUUAUUUUUUUUAGAAGUUAUGAAGGGGUGGCAACUAUCUAAACUUAUGUUAGUGUAUACUCAAAAGUAUCCUUAAUAUCACUAUUAAAACAAAACUCAUGCACUCCGAUUUGCAUAAAAGUAAGAGAGCACUAAAUAACGAACAUUCUUGAAAAAAUCGGGAUUUUGACCAAAUUUUAUUUUUUUUAGAGGUUAUGAAGGGGUGGCAACUAUCUAAACUUAUGUUAGUGUAUACUCAAAAGUAUCCUUAAUAUCACUAUUAAAACAAAACUCAUGCACUCCGAUUUGCAUAAAAGUAAGAGAGCACUAAAUAACGAACAUUCUUGAAAAAAUCGGGAUUUUGACCAAAUUUUAUUUUUUUUAGAGGUUAUGAAGGGGUGGCAACUAUCUAAACUUAUGUUAGUGUAUACUCAAAAGUAUCCUUAAUAUCACUAUUAAAACAAAACUCAUGCACUCCGAUUUGCAUAAAAAUAAGAGGGCACUAAAUAACGAACAUUCUUGAAAAAAUCGGGAUUUUGACCAAAUUUUAUUUUUUUUAGAAGUUAUGAAGCGGUGGCAACUAUCUAAACUUAUGUUAGUGUAUACUCAAAAGUAUCCUUAAUAUCACUAUUAAAACAAAACUCAUGCACUCCGAUUUGCAUAAAAGUAAGAGGGCACUAAAUAACGAACAUUCUUGAAAAAAUCGGGAUUUUGACAUAAUUUUAUUUUUUUUAGAAGUUAUGAAGGGGUGGCAACUAUCUAAACUUAUGUUAGUAUAUACUCAAAAGUAUCCUUAAUAUCACUAUUAAAACAAAACUCAUGCUCUCCGAUUUGCAUAAAAAUAAGAGGGCACUAAAUAACGAACAUUCUUAAAAAAAUCGGGAUUUUGACCAAACUUAAUUUUUUCUAGAGGUUAUGAAGGGGUGGCAACUAUCUAAACUUAUGUUAGUGUAUACUCAAAAGUAUCCUUAAUAUCACUAUUAAAACAAAACUCAUGCACUCCGAUUUGCAUAAAAGUAAGAGGGCACUAAAUAACGAACAUUCUUGAAAAAAUCGGGAUUUUGACCAAAUUUUAUUUUUUUUAGAAGUUAUGAAGGGGUGGCAACUAUCUAAACUUAUGUUAGUGUAUACUUAAAAGUAUCCUUAAUAUCACUAUUAAAACAAAACUCAUGCACUCCGAUUUGCAUAAAAGUAAGAGGGCACUAAAUAACGAACAUUCUUGAAAAAAUCGGGAUUUUGACCAAAUUUUAUUUUUUUUAGAAGUUAUGAAGGGGUGGCAACUAUCUAAACUUAUGUUAGUGUAUACUCAAAAGUAUCCUUAAUAUCACUAUUAAAACAAAACUCAUGCACUCCGAUUUGCAUAAAAGUAAGAGGGCACUAAAUAACGAACAUUCUUGAAAAAAUCGGGAUUUUGACCAAACUUAAUUUUUUUUACAGGUUAUGAAGGGGUGGCAACUAUCUAUACUUAUGAUAGUGUAUACUCAAAAGUAUCCUUAAUAUCACUAUUAAAACAAAACUCAUGCACUCCGAUUUGCAUAAAAGUAAGAGGGCACUAAAUAACGAACAUUCUUGAAAAAAUCGGGAUUUUGACCAAAUUUUAUUUUUUUUAGAGGUUAUGAAGGGGUGGCAACUAUCUAAACUUAUGUUAGUGUAUACUCAAAAGUAUCCUCAAUAUCACUAUUAAAACAAAACUCAUACACUCCGAUUUGCAUAAAAAUAAGAGGGCACUAAAUAACGAACAUUCUUAAAAAAAUCGGGAUUUUGACCAAACUUAAUUUUUUCUAGAGGUUAUGAAGGGGUGGCAACUAUCUAAACUUAUGUUAGUGUAUACUCAAAAGUAUCCUUAAUAUCACUAUUAAAACAAAACUCAUGCACUCCGAUUUGCAUAAAAGUAAGAGGGCACUAAAUAACGAACAUUCUUGAAAAAAUCGGGAUUUUGACCAAACUUAAUUUUUUCUAGAGGUUAUGAAGGGGUGGCAACUAUCUAAACUUAUGUUAGUGUAUACUCAAAAGUAUCCUUAAUAUCACUAUUAAAACAAAACUCAUGCACUCCGAUUUGCAUAAAAGUAAGAGGGCACUAAAUAACGAACAUUCUUGAAAAAAUCGGGAUUUUGACCAAACUUAAUUUUUUUUACAGGUUAUGAAGGGGUGGCAACUAUCUAAACUUAUGUUAGUGUAUACUCAAAAGUAUCCUUAAUAUCACUAUUAAAACAAAACUCAUGCACUCCGAUUUGCAUAAAAAUAAGAGGGCACUAAAUAACGAACAUUCUUGAAAAAAUCGAGAUUGUGACCAAAUUUUAUUUUUUUUAGAAGUUAUGAAGGGGUGGCAACUAUCUAAACUUAUGUUAGUCUAUACUCAAAAGUAUCCUUAAUAUCACUAUUAAAACAAAACUCAUGCACUCCGAUUUGCAUAAAAAUAAGAGGGCACUAAAUAACGAACAUUCUUGAAAAAAUCGGGAUUUUGACCAAAUUUUAUUUUUUUUAGAGGUUAUGAAGGGGUGGCAACAAUCUAAACUUAUGUUAGUGUAUACUCAAAAGUAUCCUUAAUAUCACUAUUAAAACAAAACUCAUGCACUCCGAUUUGCAUAAAAGUAAGAGAGCACUAAAUAAGGAACAUUCUUGAAAAAAUCGGGAUUUUGACCAAACUUAAUUUUUUUUACAGGUUAUGAAGGGGUGGCAACUAU